UUUGGAUUGUGUUAUCUUAUUGUCGACUGAACCGGAUAUUAAAGGUUGUCCGGCUGUUCAGCUUUAUAUCAUCCCUCGCCAAAGAACCAGAACUCAAUAAAGUUCAUGUCGCCGCCUUGAAUUAUUUCUGCAUCAUAGUCAUUUUUAUUCACUCAACUGCCUGUGUAUGGUAUGCUUUGGCCUGUACGCCUGUUCAUCAUUAUGAGGGAAGACACUGCUCAGAAAGAACAUCUUGGCCGUUCUUGUUAAUUAACAGUAUGACUUUUCAAAUUCUUCAAAAACAUU
Molecule: long non-coding RNA, 285 nt
Organism: Acipenser ruthenus (sterlet)
Lineage: Eukaryota; Metazoa; Chordata; Actinopteri; Acipenseriformes; Acipenseridae
Exons: 3
Source: RefSeq, a predicted model, not a curated record